UCAUGUGACUGACGGAAGUGGAGUUACCACGGGGAGCAUGAUUCUUUGAAGCCGACCGUCUGGGCAACU
RNAcentral lists this non-coding RNA (69 nucleotides) under uncultured Megasphaera sp. Its description in RNAcentral is "ZMP/ZTP riboswitch". It matches the Rfam family "ZMP/ZTP riboswitch aptamer (pfl RNA motif)", at positions 7 to 82 of the family's 86-position model. From Rfam's summary of the family: Previously known as pfl RNA. ZMP is also known as AICAR. Lineage: Bacteria; Bacillati; Bacillota; Negativicutes; Veillonellales; Veillonellaceae. The record is from RNAcentral.